RNAcentral lists this ribosomal RNA (253 nucleotides) under uncultured bacterium. RNAcentral describes it as "partial 16S ribosomal RNA". It matches the Rfam family "Bacterial small subunit ribosomal RNA", at positions 524 to 776 of the family's 1533-position model. The record is from RNAcentral.
UACGUAGGGUGCAAGCGUUGUCCGGAAUUAUUGGGCGUAAAGAGCUCGUAGGCGGUUCGUCACGUCGGCUGUGAAAUCCCGAGGCUCAACCUCGGGUCUGCAGUCGAUACGGGCGGACUGGAGUACUGCAGGGGAGACUGGAAUUCCUGGUGUAGCGGUGAAAUGCGCAGAUAUCAGGAGGAACACCGGUGGCGAAGGCGGGUCUCUGGGCAGUAACUGACGCUGAGACGCGAAAGCGUGGGGAGCAAACAGG